UGUUGUUUAUCCGAUCAGUCUCAAAAGUUGCCCUGCACAGCUAUGGACCAAUUAAGGGGAACCUCCAUAUAAAAUUUGAGAAAGAUCCCUCUGGUACUUCUUGAGAAAUACCAAUAACAAGAAUGGUUUAAGGACGGAUGACAGACAACGGGCGUCGGACAGUGGACGAUGGACGGACUAUGGACCACGGACCGGACGCAGGGUGAUUUGAUUAGCCCACCAUCAGAUGAUGGUGGGCUAAAAAGUUACUGUUAUAUGAUAGUGAAAACUUUUCCGAUUCAAAGUUCAUUUUUUUGGCAGUGGUACAGGGAUCCUUAAUGUUACAGUGCAAGUUGUAUAUAAACAGCCUGUACACACAUAAACAUCUUUUUAAGAGCUGAAAUUAAGACCAUUCAUUGGUGUGCAACAUGAUCACCAUAUAAAAACGUGUACAUAAAUAUAGAACGUCAAAACACAUCAACACUAUACUGUGGUGUGCACGAAUGACAUUAUCAUAAUGUAAUAAUAGGCUAUAACUACAUAACAGUGAGGUUAUAAAUAUUAAUGAGUAUAUGUCAUGAAUAUUAAUAAGAAUGACAUGAAUAUUUAUGAGUAGACAAUGACAAUGUCAAAUAUAUGAUGCACUUAUGAGAAUAUUGAGCAGUCCACGAUUAACAACAGAAGAAGGAGACGACUUGACAAAGGGCAAGCAGAAGUCUGGUGGGAUAGGAAUGGCACAUUAUGAAGAAUUACUAAGGAUAGGAAACCCAACGUUCGCAGCAGCAACAGUAACACCGUCAUUACCGAUGGCCGCUCGCUCUGAUGCAGAUAAACAAGGCAAAUUAAUCAAGUACAAUACGGAAUAUCAUGACACAAUACUCAAUAUUAUAAUGCAUGGUAAGUAUAUUGGACAGCAGGCAAGUCAUCGAUCUAAUCAAAUACACUAAAAGGUUAUCAUGUCUAAAAAUAGCCAACAGACUCUGCAAGUUGAACAGCUGUCAUGCAGAUUGGCACGCAUCUCCAUUUCACAGUGAAACCUGUUUAACUGGACCCCUUUGUAAAGUGGACAUUUGUGCAAUGUGAGCCCCCUACCUACACCCAAUUUUUCUGCAUAAAGACAUAUACUUGGAGGUCUCUAUAAAGAAACAUUCUGUUGAAAUUGAAACACAAUUUCAAAGAAAGGUUUCAUCUAGAAGUUCCAUUAGGGAUAUCUUAGUCUCUGCUGAAUAGACCAUCAGUUGUAAUGACAGCAUCUAAGAAAUUGAACGUAACAGCUGAGAGACAUCAGUGAAAUAUUGUUGUAAUGUUGUAAAUGACACUUUCUAUAAUAUCUAAUGUUUUAUAGUUCUAUAUGUAUUACAUUUUACAAACAUGAACUAGAUAUUUUAAUCAUGCAUGUAGCUUAAUUAAAUCAGUUUUUGGUU
Mizuhopecten yessoensis (Yesso scallop) is the source of this 1403-nucleotide long non-coding RNA. RefSeq lists it as uncharacterized. The record is from RefSeq and is a predicted model, not a curated record. The transcript has 2 exons. NCBI's taxonomy places the organism in Eukaryota, Metazoa, Mollusca, Bivalvia, Pectinida, Pectinidae.